GGUUAAAAAGCUCGUAGUUGGAUCUCGGCAAGUAGAGGGCGGUAUGCUUCGUAGCAUUACUGCCCUAUUACUUGUAGUUUUGCCAGAGGUUCCUGGGUGCUCUUAAUCGAGUGUCUAGGGAUGCUGGCAGGUUUACUUUGAAAAAAUUAGAGUGCUCAAAGCAGGCUAUUACGCUUGAAUAUUCGUGCAUGGAAUAAUAGAAUAGGAAGUUGUUUCUAUUUUGUUGGUUUUCGGAAAUCGACUUAAUGAUUAAUAGGGACAGUCGGGGGCAUUUGUAUUCAAACGACAGAGGUGAAAUUCUUGGACCGUUUGAAGACAAACUACUGCGAAAGCAUUUGCCAAGAAUGUUUUCAUUAAUCAAGAACGAAAGUUAGAGGUUCGAAGGCGAUUAGAUACCGCCCUAGUUCUAACCAUAAACGAUGCCAGCUAGCGAUCUGAGGACGUUUUUUUUGUAGACUCCUCAGGAAGCUUCCGGGAAACCAAGGCGUGUGGGUUCCGGGGGAAGUAUGGUUGCAAAGCUGAAACUUAAAGGAAUUGACGGAAGGGCACCACCAGGAGUGGAGCCUGCGGCU
This 572-nucleotide ribosomal RNA is filed under the name uncultured marine eukaryote. Its description in RNAcentral is "SSU rRNA". It matches the Rfam family "Eukaryotic small subunit ribosomal RNA", at positions 617 to 1190 of the family's 1831-position model. The record is from RNAcentral.